Lutra lutra (Eurasian river otter) is the source of this 106-nucleotide small nuclear RNA. Lineage: Eukaryota; Metazoa; Chordata; Mammalia; Carnivora; Mustelidae. The record is from RefSeq and is a predicted model, not a curated record.
GUGCUCGCUUCGGCAGCACAUACAUUAAAUUGGAAUGAUACAGAGAAGAUUAGCAUGGCCCCUGCACAAGGAUGACACCCAAAUUCGUGAAGCAUUCCAUAUAAAA